This 253-nucleotide ribosomal RNA is filed under the name uncultured bacterium. Its description in RNAcentral is "partial 16S ribosomal RNA". It matches the Rfam family "Bacterial small subunit ribosomal RNA", at positions 524 to 776 of the family's 1533-position model. The record is from RNAcentral.
UACAGAGGGUGCGAGCGUUAAUCGGAAUUACUGGGCGUAAAGGGCGCGUAGGUGGUUACGUAAGUGAGAUGUGAAAUCCCUGGGCUUAACCUAGGAACUGCAUCUUAUACUGUGUGACUAGAGUACUGUAGAGGGUAGUGGUAUUUCCGGUGUAGCGGUGAAAUGCGUAGAGAUCGGAAGGAACACCAGUGGCGAAGGCGGCUACCUGGACAGAUACUGACACUGAGGCGCGAGAGCGUGGGGAGCAAACAGG